AUUUGCACUGUCAGGAAAGUCGGCAAAUUAGAUCCGUAACUUUGGGAAAAUAAUUGGCUUCAGUGAUCGGUCCGUUGGCCUGUUAAAAGAUGCUUGUGCGAUUUCAUACAUUGCUGGCAGAUGCUAACGAUGAACCUGGACUGGCGACGGGACUGCUUUCAAAUUGUGGACGUUUUCAGGUGUGCGCUCCCUUUUCGGGCUUUUUGUCCUGACCGACCAUCAAAAUGCUUAAAUAGGAGCUGGUGCGGACUCAGCGAAUCUCUCUAAUGACUCUGACUGUUGACUCUACCUUGACAUUCCGAAAAGUCAUGAGAGGUGUAGCAUUGUUGGGAAACUUCGGUCGCCAAUCAAAUGGAACCACUUUUAUCAAUUCUUUACUUUUUCGGUGAGGACUGAGUUUCUGCUCUUUUUUCUUUGUCUCAUGCAAAGCCAGCUGACAUUGCGACUCUCGCCGAAAACAGUGUCAGGCGGGAGUUUGACUGGGGCGGUACAUGUUUCAAUGGUAGAUAACUUCCUGAUCGUUCUACUUUUUCCCUUCGGAAUUUUCAUCUUUUUUCUUUUUGC
Non-coding RNA from Necator americanus (New World hookworm), 564 nucleotides. The record is from Rfam. NCBI's taxonomy places the organism in Eukaryota, Metazoa, Nematoda, Chromadorea, Rhabditida, Ancylostomatidae.